AUUGGCCAGACAGCAUGAGGAUCUUGAGGACCCCUAUUCCUGUUGCACACUCAUGCAGCUCUGUCUUCAAUCAACCUGAACAGCUUAGAACUCAUGAUUUCUAACUCCAGCACACACUGCUGUUGAUAUAUGUGCUCACCCAGGUGGACAGCAUGGAGAUCUCAGGAAUCCACUCCUGCCAUGCCCGUUUGCUCUUCCACACUCAGCUUUGUCAAACAGAUUAGUAGCUUCCAACCUGAUUGCACAUUUCUUCAACACUAUGUGGCUUCUUCUGGUUGAUCAGAGAAGUGCAAUGUCCCUACACCACUGCUCACUGAGGAAAUGAGAAGUUGCAGAGCAGCCCAUACCUAACAUACUCAUGAAGUUCUCUCAAUAUACAUUCCACCUUAGAGGUCCUGGAUCCUCUGGCCAGCUGCACACUUCUUCAGUGCCAAAGGAAGCCCAGCCUGUGAGAAGAACCCAGUUGGUCUGUGGCCAUCAGUGGCUACAGAUGGAGCCCAAUGUGGGUCUCGCUGAGAAAUGAUGUCUUAGAUCGAGCUCCGUGGAAAACUGAAGAAGAAGAAGAGUAUCCUACACUUGAAUUGACUUGGUUGUACUGGGUGAAGAAGGUACCUCCCUAGAUCUUGUAGCUCCAGGCUCUCUGUCCAUCAGACUAUCCACUGGACCCCAUAUCAUCACAGGAAUUACUACUGAAUUAAGAGCAGUGCUCCUGUGCCAAGGGAUCCAGCAUGAUGACGUGUUUUACUUUUUAUCCUACUAAUAGUUUCAUAUCUCUUGGCACAAAUAGAAACAAAAAUCAAGCAAGUUUCCCCACACCUACCAGUCAGUCUGCUACACAAGUGGAGUCAUGGGCUCACUCCAAGAAUGUGAAUUCAACUGGGAUUUAUAUUUUUGUGAAAAAUCUUGAAGAUUCAAUAGAAGUGGCCAGGUUUCCUUUUCCUCAUUGCUUUCCAUACAUUCUAGAAAGACCAAGGUGGAAACCCACUUCAGUACUGAAACAUCUAAAAAUAUUAUAAUCACAUGAAGAAAGAGGGACUAUUUGGCACUUGGGUCAAAGACUGACCUUGACACACUGUCCUAGAUGCUUAGUUCCCCCAACUGAACAGCUUCUUCCAGGUUCUUACACAUCUACUGAUCAGCAUCUCAAUGUCUCUUGUAUGGAAAAGAAAAGCUCACAUAACACAAGGUUUUGGCUCUCUGCAUAGAAAUGCAGAAAGUUAUUGCUAUCACCUGGCAUCAAGACCAACUUAAAAAUCUUCAAUAAGUAUUGAAUUCUAUAAUGACAAUUUUACUUUUUUGUUUUGUUUUUUGUUUUCUUUUAAAACAGUGUUUCUCUGCGUAGACCUGGCUGCCCUGGAACUCACUCUGUAGACCACAUUGGCUUCAAACUCAGAGAUCUUCCUCUCUCUGACUCCCAAUUGGUGGGAUUUAAGUACAAUGCCACCAAAUCCCAGUAUGAUAGUUUUAUUUUAAAUAGUUUGAUUUUAAUCAUAAGUCUUAUUCCAAAAAGAACUAUGAGGUUAAGACUGCAUUUGUGGGUAUGUGACAGAGAUUUUUGACUGAAGGUAGGUACUUGAAGUACUACAAGUGAUUUCCACCAGGGUCAAGUCAACCUUUUAAAACUGUAGUUGUGGGACUGUGUAAGGAUAUCCUGGGUCAUGGUAGAGCAGGUGUCUAGAACCCCGAGACUCUGUAGAUUCUGGGCGAGAUUCUACAUGAGAACCAG
Grammomys surdaster is the source of this 1726-nucleotide long non-coding RNA. RefSeq lists it as uncharacterized. NCBI's taxonomy places the organism in Eukaryota, Metazoa, Chordata, Mammalia, Rodentia, Muridae. The record is from RefSeq and is a predicted model, not a curated record. The transcript is spliced from 4 exons.